UCAAUUACACAAAAUGUCACAUUUUCACUAAGAACACACAAAAUGGCAAUAAAAUGUACUACCAAAGAAAAGAAAAAUCCAUAUAAUAUAGUAUUAGAUAACAAAAAUUAAAAAGAUAAAGAUAAAAAAUAAAAAAGAAUGUAAAUGAAAGAUGAAAAUGGUGAAGAUAACUACGUUUUUUCAACGUACUCUCAUUUUUGGAUGAAAAUUAGACUAUAUUUUCUUUGUUUUUUUGCAACCUUUUCUGAAAAUAAGGUGGCUUGCCAAUCGGGCGUGGUCACCAGUGGAGGCCGUGAUACAUCGGAACCGAAGCACGUGGGGAUUG
This 325-nucleotide long non-coding RNA is filed under the name Physcomitrium patens. Its description in RNAcentral is "long non-coding RNA (PPAT_LNC005266)". The record is from RNAcentral. Lineage: Eukaryota; Viridiplantae; Streptophyta; Bryopsida; Funariales; Funariaceae.